GUAAUUGCAAUGCUUGUAUGUUUUCUCAUAUUAUUUCUUACACAGUUUUUUUUUUUUUUUUGGGAUAUGUAUAGAGUGAAGUGGAGUGGAUCGGAAUCACUGUUGAUUCAUUCUUUCGGUGCGGUGCGGCAAGCAAAAGCAAAAUUAGGCUAUAAUCGAGCUUUGUAAUUUUUUUAAAGAGUUAUGUGCUAAAGUAUUGAGGGCAGAGGAUUUGGAACUUCUUGAGAAAAGUGUGUUCAUAACUCUUUGCAAGUUGGAAAAAGUAUUCCCACCAGCAUUUAAGUUCCAUGUAAGUAAAGCAAUAGAGUGUUGGAGGAAGUUCCAUGUAAGUAAAGCAAAGGAAGGAAAAGAAGAACAUUGGAAAAGUGACAAGGCUAAGGAAAUUUAUGAUGAUCUUACUGAAAGAAAGAAUAGAGUGGAAGAAGUGUUUGGUGAAGCUGAUGAUUGGGAAAUAUAUCAGAAAGUGAUUGGUGGGCCUAGUCACGGUCGUGUACUUGGUUUAGGUGCUGGGGUGAAACUAAAAGAUUACAAUUCACCUAACCAAACUUGUAAUAAGCCUACAUGUUUGGAACAAAAAGAAGAUUAUGAAAGAGUGAAAGGCCAAGUUGAAUCUCUGACAGAUAAAUUGGACAAGUUGACUCAAAUUGUUCAAAGUUUGCUGCCUAAUACCUCAGACAAUUCUAAAGCAAGAAACUCACAUUCUGUGGACAAUAUUGCAACAGAUUCAAGUGCACACCAUGAUGAAGAUGGUACUGAUGAAGAUGGUGAUAAAGAUGUUGCUGAUGAAUAUGAUGCAAACUCUAGUUAAGACUUUU
This is an RNA transcript of Rosa chinensis, 815 nucleotides long. RefSeq lists it as uncharacterized. NCBI's taxonomy places the organism in Eukaryota, Viridiplantae, Streptophyta, Magnoliopsida, Rosales, Rosaceae. The record is from RefSeq and is a predicted model, not a curated record. The transcript has 4 exons.